RNAcentral lists this long non-coding RNA (1957 nucleotides) under Orbicella faveolata. RNAcentral's name for it is "uncharacterized LOC110061309". Lineage: Eukaryota; Metazoa; Cnidaria; Anthozoa; Scleractinia; Merulinidae. The record is from RNAcentral.
GGAACUUCAGUGACAAGCCACCCUUUUGUUCUUACAACAUUUUGACCUCAUCUGUGAUCUAUAUGUAAAUGAACAGUACUACUGAAUAGACGCACAGCAACAUGGAAUCUAUUAAUAGAAGUGGUGGAAUGAUGACAAUGUCUUCAAAAAUUAAUGUCAUGUGGAUGUUGUACUCAUAGGAUAUUCAAUGCACCAUCAUGAUUGCUUAAACUUCUCACUUUAAAUGAAUGUGCAUACAUGUUGCUAAUCAAGAGUCCACUACUAAUGCAAUUGGCCUGUAUGACUUAAGGACCAGUCCAGUUGCUCUGUCUUACUAUUUUUUUUCUCACAAUUUCUGGUAUUUUCUUAGUUUCAGGUCGGACUUACAAUGUACGUUGAAGAACCUUGAUUUGAGAUUUGGCACUUGAGUGGAAAUCACUGAACAAUGAUUUGCAUUAAGCAUUGUUUUUUCUCAAUUAUUAUUUUGGAUGACAUGUCAUGAAGAACCUUGAUUUGAGAUUUGGAGAGAAGAAAACACCAACAAAGAUCUGCAUUAAGUUUCAGAUGACAUAUCAUUAAGAACCUAUGAUUUGAGAUUUGACAAGAAGAAUUAAAACACCAACAAAGAUCUGCAUUAUUAGUUUCAGAUGACUAAUCAUCAAAGACUUUGAUAUGAGAUCUGAGAAGAAGAAACCACCAACAAAGAUGUACUUUAAGUUUAAGAUGACUUUUCAUAAAAGACCUUGAUAUGAGAUCUGAGAAGAAGAAACCACCAAAAUUAAGAUCUGCUUUGAGUUUAGAUGACUUAUCAUCACAGACCUUGAUGUGAGAUCUGAGAAGAAGAAACCCUCAACAAAGAUGUGCUUUAAGUGUGCUCAUCGACGUUUGCCGGAUGAUUUGGAUCAAAAUUCAGAAGAGAGAAGACAAGGACUUUUGAAGAACUGAGGAGAACAAGACAAGAUAGUGUGAGGUUUAUUCAGCUAGUAUUUUUCCCACAUCCGAGAGAAUGUUUCAAAGAUUAUCGUGAUCUAGAAAUUGUUGAAUAGAGUUGAUUUCGCAAAAUUUGUGAAACUGAAUUGAAUAAUGGUGAAAAUUUAGUUGUCAGAGUGAAACAAUCAGAGCAAAACAAAAGCAAAAGCACUGGAACAGCUCAGGGAACUCUACUAUUGUUGCUUUCAAAUGAUUUAGUAUCCAAUAGUCUGAUAUUUAAAAUCAAUAGCGCAAAGUUAAGACUUGAGUUUAAAGUUGAGCUGUAAGCGUUUUAGAAGAAACUUCUUCCUACGCUUUUGCUGUCUUUCAAAUUUUUUUCUGAGCUUCAAAAAAUGAAGCGAAUACGUGGAAAAUUCUGCGAAAUAGCUUGCGAAAUUUUUUUCCAGUGUUAUCACAGAACAAAUCAUUGCCGCUACAAAAUGUGAUGCAGCAUUCAAUCAGGACAUGUAAACACAUGUGCUGCUUGCAUGCUCUGUUGUGUUAUUUUGUAGUGGCAAUGAUUUAUUCUGUGAUUAUUUUAGUUUUCAUUUUACGAGAUUUAUCAGAAACUAUUGUAAAAAUCUUGACAGAAUAAGCCAGAGCUUGUAAUCGCAUCGUCUGUUAAUCAAAUGAAAUGUUUCAUCAACAAUCAGUUUUUUAAUACUCGUUUUUGCCAGAAAAUAUUCAGAAAGCUUUAAUUUUUGUUUUCAAACUUCCAAAUUAUUUAUUCAUCUAUACACGGCUGUCAUUAGACUUAAUAAUCGAUCGUUUGAAGACCCAGCAAUUUGUUAAUGGUAUUCCACAUUUUGACUUAGUAUUUAUCUCAGUGUUCAUUUAUAUUUGACUUCGGUAAUCGUGCUUUCUCGACCUUGCAGUUUUGAAAGUGUUGUAUAAUCAUUGCUUGUAAUUGAGUGUUGCAAAUAAGUUUAGUGUUUACUUUAAUCAGUUGUAAAUUAAGUAGAUGAAACAAAGCAAUCAAUAAAGUAUUCACAACUUUAACUGUCUCUUA